UUGGAUACCUGAUAAACCCAGCAUGUCUAGGGACGCCGGCCGCUACGGAUCCAUGUCACUUUAUAGCCCCAUGACCGCCCAUGUUGAUGACGAAUUCACGAGCGCGCACGUUUUAAGAUUAUGCAUCUUCCGAUCACGCUCCAGUGAGGGAAUUAAGGAUGGCACGUUGUCCUUGUAAUGGGGAUCCAGCAGGGUGGCCACCCAGUAAUCCGCACAAGUUAGAAUGUGGGCAACUCGGCAGUCGUUGCACACGCACUUUGGUGACUCUAGAUAACCCUGGGCCGAUCGCACGUCCCCUUGACGACACAUUCGGAUGUCUGCCCUAUCAACUUUCGAUGGUACUUUCUGCGCCUACCAUGGUGACCACGGGUAACUGGGAAUCAGGGUUCGAUUCCAGAGAGGGAGCCUGAGAAACGGCUACCACGUCCAAGAAAGGCAGCAGGUGCGCAAAUUACCCACUCCCGACGCGGGGAGGUAGUGAUGAAAAAUAACAAUACAGGACUCUUUCGAGGCCCUGUAAUUGGAAUGAGUACACUUUAAAUCUUUUAACGAGGAUCUAUUGGAGGGCAAGUCUGGUGCAGAGCGACUGACCCGUGCGUACUGCAGCUGAAACUCCACUA
Molecule: non-coding RNA, 620 nt
Organism: Pelobates cultripes (western spadefoot toad)
Lineage: Eukaryota; Metazoa; Chordata; Amphibia; Anura; Pelobatidae
Source: the annotation of a GenBank genome assembly